Suricata suricatta (meerkat) is the source of this 104-nucleotide small nuclear RNA. The record is from Ensembl. NCBI's taxonomy places the organism in Eukaryota, Metazoa, Chordata, Mammalia, Carnivora, Herpestidae.
GUGCUCACUUUGGCAGCACGUAGACUAAAAUUGGAACAAUACAGAGAUUAGCAUGGCCCCUGCACAAGGAUUUUGUGCAAAUUCAUAAAGCAUGCCGAAUUUUU